GUUCUCCCACUGAGGGUCAGAUUGUUCGCCUGUGGGCUGCCUCUCAAUCCGGAGGGGCUUUAGAAAAGACACGCGUUCCCAGCAGGAAGAGAAGAAAAGAAAAAGCCCACUGUGUUUAUGUUGUUAACCUUUUUUUCCCUAUUCAGAGAAAUGCACCACUCUCCACCUCCUCCUCCUCCUCCUCCUCUUCCUCUCCUGUGAGCCCUCCCUCCACCCUUCCCUCCCUCUGCCUCACUUUAUCUUCCUCUCUCACUCUCAUAUUUCGCAUAAAGGAGUCACAUUUCACUGAAGAAGAGGAAUCAAGACUUCACCUCUUCCUCCUUCUUCUUCAACAGUCCCGUUCCCUUCACUCUCUCUCUCUCUCUCUCCCUCUCUCUCUCUCUGCUGUCAUCUUUUCUCCUCCCAUCUCUGCAUCACACUUGGAUUCACUCCGUUUCCUUCUGCCUGCUUCCCAAACUUAUUUUACUUUGCUCUCACAGUUAUUCCCUUCCUGCAGACUUAUUUACUUUUUGUUUUGCAUCUGAAGAAACAGAUUUUUUUAAUGUUUAAAGACUUUUCCUUUUCUCCUAAACCAGAGGAAAGAUUCAGUUUGUCAACCCAAAGACAUUUCUCCCUCCACACGCCACUGUACCUCAUCAAAGGAUGUAACCACAAGGCUUCACGCUGUUCCGUCCUCAUCACCUCCCCUCCUCUCCUCUCUAGCGCUCAUCCCCAGUGUCGAGGAGACCCCCGCAGGAGAAACCAGAGCACUGCAGCGAGAGCCAAAGCACUGCGGUCACCUCCCCUUCCAGUGCGGUGCCACACCCCACACCUCGCCACCCUCUGCACCUCACUGUGCAAAUCUGAGCCGGAGUCAAGAUUCAUGGGAAUCCUCUGAACUCCAGCUGUGUUUCUCCCGUCUACCUGAUCUACAGCCAACAAUCAAACCAGCAGGAACAUCGGUUCUCUGGAAGUGAGUGACCUCUGACCUCCUAUGAAACAUAAACAGCUGGAUUCAACGGUAGACGUUGUGCAACCAGAAACAAAGACACGUUGAUUCAACUUUUACACCGUUUCCAUCUUACAAACACUUUCUUUUUCAAAAAUAAAAAUCUUAAAAGUGUGGCCUGCAUUUGUGUUCAAUACCCAUCAAUCACUGAUUGAAAACUACAAAGUAAAACUACAA
Xiphophorus hellerii (green swordtail) is the source of this 1165-nucleotide long non-coding RNA. RefSeq lists it as uncharacterized. The record is from RefSeq and is a predicted model, not a curated record. The transcript is spliced from 3 exons. NCBI's taxonomy places the organism in Eukaryota, Metazoa, Chordata, Actinopteri, Cyprinodontiformes, Poeciliidae.